GCUUUUAAUGGACAGUAGUUCUUCCAUCAGCCUUAGGAGCUGAACAUCUUGGUGCAACUCCAAGUGAAAGCA
Molecule: transfer RNA, 72 nt
Filed under: Mecistops leptorhynchus
Lineage: Eukaryota; Metazoa; Chordata; Crocodylia; Crocodylidae
Description: tRNA-Leu
Rfam family: tRNA
About the family: Transfer RNA (tRNA) molecules are approximately 80 nucleotides in length. Their secondary structure includes four short double-helical elements and three loops (D, anti-codon, and T loops).
Source: RNAcentral